AAAAGAAACUAACAAGGAUUCCCUUAGUAACGGCGAGUGAACUGGGAAGAGCUCAAAUUUAAAAUCACUUGGGUUUACCUAGGUGAGUUGUAAUUUGAAGAAAGUUGAUUUGAUCACAAGUUUAAUCUCUAAAUCCUUUGGGAUGGGGUAUCAUAGAGGGUGAGAAUCCCGUUUAUGAUUAAACUAGUGGUUAUUUAAUUCAUCUCUCUAAGAGUCGAGUUGUUUGGGAUUGCAGCUCAAAAUGGGUGGUAAAUUUCACCUAAGGCUAAAUAUAUGCAAGAGACCGAUAGCGAACAAGUACCGUGAGGGAAAGAUGAAAAGAACUUUGGAAAGAGAGUUAAACAGUACGUGAAAUUGUUGAAAGGGAAACGAUUAAAGUCAGUCAUGCUAGUAAGGAAUCAACUUAGGUGUUGAUAAGAAAUUUUCUUGUCUCUUCCUGGUGCACUUUCUUGCCCGGCAGGUUAACAUCAAUUUUAGUUGUCAUCAAAGAACUGAGGGAAUGUGACUUCUCUUCGGAGUAGUGUUUAUAGACCUUGGUAGAUGUGACGACUGGGAUUGAGGAUUGCAGCGAAUGCCUUUUGGCUAGUCACCUCGCUUCUGAUGGUCACCUCGCUUCCGACAGCUUGCUAACGGUUGUGGGAUUCGGCAAUCUAGAUGUUAGAGUGAUCAUAAAUUCGCUAAGGAUGUUGACGUAAUGGCUUUAAACGAC
This 709-nucleotide ribosomal RNA is filed under the name Glomeromycotina sp. Its description in RNAcentral is "eukaryotic LSU rRNA". It matches the Rfam family "Eukaryotic large subunit ribosomal RNA", at positions 57 to 648 of the family's 3401-position model. Lineage: Eukaryota; Fungi; Glomeromycota. The record is from RNAcentral.